Molecule: non-coding RNA, 3778 nt
Organism: Pelobates cultripes (western spadefoot toad)
Lineage: Eukaryota; Metazoa; Chordata; Amphibia; Anura; Pelobatidae
Source: the annotation of a GenBank genome assembly
GUUGAAAGGUAAAUCUGCUACUCUGGUGACUCGGUCCCUCUGGUCACUAUUCUCCAACCCUCGAUUGUCAGCUGAAUAUUCAGGGAAGAUUUUUAUGGAAGCGUAUUAACCAGACACACACUUUUUGCUCUCCAUAAUCUUCUGAUCGUUUAUUCAAGAUUCGCUAUAUUUAUACUAUACUUGUCACGAAUAUUGGUUACAAAAGGUUACAAAAAGGUUACAAAAAGGUUACACAAGAUACAUAAAAGAGGAAGUAGUUUCUGCUGUUACAUUCAAUAAUCUAAUCUUACAAAAUAUCACAUAUACAUUGUGGUUAGGCAUUUCCUGAUACAUAGAAACUGUCAUAGCUUGUGACUUCCUUUCAAUUAUGUUUUGCAAGCAGUUCUGAAAUACUGACAGAUUAAUUGUUUAACCCCUUAAGGACCAGAUUUCUGGAAUAAAAGGGAAUCAUGACAUGUCAUGUGUCCUUAAGGGGUCAAUAUUCCUUCAUUUCCCCCUCUUUGAGCAAUAUCUUGCUCAUACCCUAUUUAAGGAGUCCUGGUCAGACAACCAGCCAUCUGCCAUGGUAUAUUCAGGAUUGCUAGCCAAUCCUGCAGGUCUUUCAUUAUGUCUUCGGCCACUAUUCCCAUGGCAUAGGACUAGGCAUCUGACCAGCACCACAAACUUAUAGAUCUGUAUCAGUAUGUUCACCAUUGCUUCGGUUAUGUGUAUACAUUUGGAGAUACUCAUCAUUUCAAGCUGGGGAUUUUACAGGAACAGUGUUGCUUGUAUGUUUGUAAAUGCAGAAUACAAUAAUCUUGAAAAUAGCAUAAACAAGUAGAGCAAGGAUCAGAACCAUAACAAUAAGUAUUGCAAUAUUCUUUAGCCAGUCUAGGAUACUGUCAAACUUAAACAUAUCUGCCCAUGGGUGAUCAAUACCUGAAUUCCUCUUCAUUUCUAUGGAUAGGUCUUCCAAUUUCUUUAUAGCUAGGGUUACUUUACCAUUAGAGCCAGUGUUCUCUGGAAUAUAGGUACAACAAACACCGGAGUCAAGUAAUUUACAGACUCCUCCCUUUUCUCCUAAAACCAUAUCAAGGGCCAUUCUAUUCUGGAAAGUCAUUUGUGAGGUAGCCUGUAAUUGUUCAGCAAGACCUUGUAAUGCAUCUCGUGUAUAAUUUACAAAUCUUUGCUGAUUAUAAUAUAUAUAAUUAAUCCAGUUAACAUUCUUGUUAGCUGUUAUAAUAGGAAAUAUUGAUUCAAAUCCUGCUGCCACCUCGUCUCUAGCUUUAAAUUCAUUAGGGACCCCUCUUGGAAUACCAAUGGCAUCUAGAUAGAUAUGUGGGUCGAAACUACCUUGUGGGGAUUCCCUUUUCCUUCUUGUGGAAUCAGUUACAACCUUAAUUUCAGGGAGAGAGUCGCCAAAUAUAUGGAGGGGCAUGAUUAUUUUGGCUGGGGCACAUUCUCCUCUCCAGGGGGUGGGGAGUCUAGAACGUAUUUUUUAUAUAGAUUGUGUUUGAUUCACUAAGGUAAUAUUACUGUAGGCGGAGCAGAAUCCUGAAGAAAAGUUAUCAAAUUGUGUACCCACCUUACCAUUAUUAUUUCCCUGAAAACAAGUAUAAUUACCAGGAUAUACUGGGACAACAUCAUUUAAAUUAAACUUGGGUUCACCAAUAGGGUGACCCUUUUUCCAUUCUUCACAUUCUGUAGUAUUAACAGUGAUACCUGAAAACAAACUUAGGAAACAUUCCCAGUACUCAUCAGGGACAUGUAAGGGUACAGUUCCUAGAUGAGGUCUGGCACUACCACAUACAUAACAGUUUGACCUAUUGUUGGAAUGGGCAUUAUAUCUCAACCAUUCCAGCCAUAGGUUUGUAUCUGCAUACCCUGUUUCUAAAGCUAUGGUAUCUCCAAACGUGGGAUCUGCUAUGGCCAUCAUAUCACCAAGGGUUUGAAUGUGGGGCUUUAGAGGAUUAACAAGAGUUUGUCUAGAGGUGAGGCUUUCCCAUUUUGAGGAGUUCCAUAUAUCUUUUAACUGGAUUUUUCCUCGAUUACCUCCAAUACCUCCUCUUAAAAAGGUACUGAGAAUAUAAAUACCUUGAUCUCCAGGACUGGGGUUUUCAAUAUUUAAGGUAAAUUUCAUGGAGUGCCCAGUUUGCCCUAUAGAGGUACAUGUACCUGGCUUUGUUAAGGUCAUUCUAGUCAAGAGGGACUUCCCAUUCGUAUCCUUUUUAUCUAAUGCAUUCUGUGGCUUAUAACCCCAAUGUGUCCCGGUGUUCCAUCCAACUGAGCCCCAAUAAUCACAAUUGUUACCCCUCUUUGAGCAAUAUAUAUUGCUCAUAUCAUCGGUUAACAUUCUCCCAAGACAGAGAAAUGUCCAGAUUAUGGCAUUCCCAAGCAAUCAUGUGGUCUACAAGAAACAGAAACUCAGCAGAAAAAAAAACAAAACAAAAACCACUUAAUACUUUUGCAGACAGAUAUAUAGAAAAUGGAUGUUUAAGACAGAAUGGAACUUGGGCUUAUAGCAACUAUAUUUUUGCACAACCAGGACCUUGCGUCCUAUAUCUUUUAACCAUUUCCCUAUUCCAAAAGUCCAGUCAAAGCCAGUCAUAUCCUCACGCAGUUCCUCAAAACAUGGGAAUCCAUCCCUGGCACACUCAACAUAUCAAAAACACACAUAGUACAUCCAUCCCUGGGUCAGCUAACACUUCCUCUCUCUCCGGCUAACUCUACAAAAAUAAAAAUAAAAAUAGUUCAAUAGUUCAGCAUAGUUCAGAAAAAUAGAAUAAGUCUUUCACAGAGUAUAAAGAAAUCAGUUUAGACACCAGACAUUUUGUUCCAUAAAAAUGGCUAAGGGUAGCAAUAUGGCUGACAACAAGACAAUGUCAGCUUCCAAAUAGUUCUUAGUUCUUCUUUUGUUUGCUGGAUUUUCACCACAAAGCUCUGUGCAACACCCCAAAGGUUGAAAGGGUUAUUACAGAACCAGCGGCAUUAGACAGCACUGCACCUUCAGGACUUUCCAGGUUCUUGCGUGCAAAGUUUAUGUCCUCAUAAAUAAGUAUCUCAGUUUCUUCGGCCUGCAUGGAUAAUGACCAAACAGAUGUAAUUGCAAAAUACUUAUUGCAUGGUCAACCGGAGAGAUUGAUGUGUAGUCCCAGAAAUCAGGCGGCACAAACACUCCAGGACGGUCUCUACAAUCAUACAAACACAAGGAUCAAUACAACAUUAAUUAAUUACCUAGGCUAAAACUUAAAUUAGAGAUUAAGGUUAAACCCUUAAUUUGUGUAACAUGUACUUCUCUUAUAAUUUAUGCAAUCUGUCUUCUAUGAAGUUUUACAUUAUACCCCUUUGGAAUGCCUUUGUACGGAUGAGAGUAGCACUCACUCUAUAGAAAUCCUUGUUAGGAUGAAUAUUAAAACACUAACAUAUACAUAUGGGGAUAAUUCCCAAUAAAACUCUGUUCCUAAACUGGAACCUUGAUUUGAUAUUCAAAAUUAAUUACUUUAAUAAUCCCGAAUAAUUCAAUACUCUUGGAUUAAUACCUAAAACCAUAUAAAAUAUUACAAACAUGAACCAUCUGUGUAUUAUGCUGUGGUUGUUGGGUGUGGGUAUAGGUUGGAAGCUAUGGUUGGUAUUGAGGAAUCUGUGGGGGUGGGUUUGGGCACUCAUUUUUCCAGUGACCCUGCUAUCCACAAUUAGAACAGUGUGUUCCACCAAUGCUGAAGUUGUUACAAAAGUUAGACCCUUUGACCAAAUCCUCUACCUCUGCCUUUAUUCCAUAUGCAGGAUGGGAUUACCUAAC